CAGAAAGUGGAUCCGGUUGAAAACGUUUGGGAUAACAGUAUCUCCCUAUGUAAGUGACAAAUACUGACUUUUUCGGUGAAAAGGGACACACAUUUUCUCAGGGAAGCAAAGUUCUCAGCUGCACUGUGUUGAGUAAGGAAAAGGUAUUUUGCAUAUUCCUGCUUGUGACGCAGAAUCAGUCGACACACAAAUGCAACGCAACUGGAUCUACAGCAACCCUGAAUGCAAUACAAACAUCCAGAAAAAGCCUGCUUCCACUGCUAGAUCCUCUACCCAUCCUACUUCCCUUAUCAUGGAGAAGGAAACAACGCUUCACAGAAGGUGUAGUCUGAUUAGCUUCCUAAUUAACAGAGAAACAGAGUAAGCUACGCUACCAUGAGGCAUAACUUUGGCACCUGCAAGACACAGCUCUGAGUUUAUAACCAUAUUAUAAAAUUUGGACAAAAACAUAAUACAAGCAAUAUGAAGUUAAGGACAUUCGAUCACUGGAUCCCCAGAGGAACUUCUUGCAGGUCAACAGAAACUCACUCUGACAAGGAGGAAACAUGUAGCUGCCACUCAACCUCUUCUCCUCUUUCAUUCACCAUUGCCCUUCUCAUGACCUCGGGGCAUCAUGUUUAGCUCUGUCCUCUGCCCAAUUCCAUACAUCCAGGACCGGCUCAAAUUUUUGCCAGCUUCAGUAUCUUUAGCACCCUGCCUUCCCUUUCUACCCAUAAAAGCAAAAUGUUCAUCCAGGCCCUCAUUACUGUUACAGAGAUGCGAGAUAAUCUCCUUCCUUCUGGCCGUGACAGGAGCAAUCCUGCCCUCUGAAAUCCAUUCAAAAUGCAAAUGCAAAAAUCGUCUUCCUGGAUUACUGCCUCAAGCCUAUUGCCCCAUUCCUUCCUGCCAAUACCUCCUACUGGCUACCCCUUUUUUCUACUACAUUAAGCACAAAUUGCUUGUCUUCAUUUUUAAGAGUUGUUCUUAGACGGUGACAACUGAUCCAAAUGCCCUACACAUCUAUUUAAAACCCAGGUAAUGAAGCCUAAUAACUACGUAAGAAAUCUCUUAUGUAAUGACUAGAUAGAAAUCAAUACCAUACACUUUAAUAACCAAUUCAGUGGGCAUACCUGCUCACAAUAAAAGCUGUGGCACAUGGCUGAAGUACUCUACAUAUGCUUCUUUGGAGUAGAAUCCAGUGCAGACUCUUCAAACAUCUUCCCUUUUGAAGUGUUUUACAACAGGCUAUUGGGUUUCUGACAAAACCAAUUUUUAAAGUAUCUGUUAUGUGAAAAGCAUUAUAGACUCUUUUUCUUGGUAAGAAAAGAAUAUUCAAAAGCUAAAAGCAUUCACACAACACCUCAUGAAAACAUUAGUUUGGUGUUUCAAGUCCUUUCUUCCCUCCAAGAGGGAGAAACUCCUGGAAAAACUUCUAUCUCCAUGACACACUGCCUCUGCUUAUCAACUGGUAUAAUUCCAAAGAUCUAAUUCAGCCUCCAGAGCAAAACUCCACUUUGCUACAUAACAGCAGUGUCGUUUUCAUUCCAUAAUAAACAGUGAGGUCCAGAGCCCGUAUUUAUAAAAGCAUUUUAGCACCAUCUCCUAGUUCCCUAAUGCCUAGAAAAACAAGGGGAACGAGUGCAGAUGGAGAACCUCUAAGCUAGCAAACCAAGAACAAUUUGACCUUCAGGGUCUGCAUGCACAUCACAGCUGCAGUCCAACCCUCCAUCUAGCCAAGCCUUAAGCCCACAUCAGCUCCACAACCUUAGGCCCAUCUGGUCUGGCUUCCAUAGAAAAGAAAUCCAACGCGUACGGACCAAAACAGAACUGGGGCAUGUUCUAACCUGUUUUCCACUGAUCAGUUUAGGAGGCGCCAUAGUCUGUUUGGAAAAGUUCAAACAAGUAUGUAAAUUAACUCUCACCUUUAUUAAAUGGGCUUGAGAAAUCUCCAAGCAAAUAGCAAUCCCUUAUUAUGCACAUGAAGGAAAGCUGAAAGACAAAUAGCAAAGCAGAAGAAAUCCCCAGGUGAACAUAAGAGCAUGCAUACAACACAUACCAAAAAAGAGCCUGUCCCCAGAAAACAUUUUAGAGUACAGCGUCAUGCAGCAUCUCCCCAGUAGACUAUAAAUUUAAUGUGAGCAGGUGUCCCAGGCCAGAAAACACAGACAGACACACACUCAGGGCCAUACUGUAGCCCUAUGACAAGAAGCUUUCACACUACACAUGGGAAAAAUCUCUCUUUUGUUAAGGAUAGUUAGGCCUUAAAAUAAAUUGCUUAAGAUGACUGCUAAA
Molecule: long non-coding RNA, 2271 nt
Organism: Dromaius novaehollandiae (emu)
Lineage: Eukaryota; Metazoa; Chordata; Aves; Casuariiformes; Dromaiidae
Exons: 2
Source: RefSeq, a predicted model, not a curated record